UGGACUUGAGAAAAUGAGUGUCUAGG
This 26-nucleotide non-coding RNA is filed under the name Mus musculus (house mouse). Lineage: Eukaryota; Metazoa; Chordata; Mammalia; Rodentia; Muridae. The record is from RNAcentral.